This 226-nucleotide unclassified non-coding RNA is filed under the name Glomus sp. RNAcentral describes it as "partial contains 5.8S ribosomal RNA and internal transcribed spacer 2". The stretch from base 1 to 71 matches the Rfam family "5.8S ribosomal RNA", at positions 84 to 154 of the family's 154-position model. Lineage: Eukaryota; Fungi; Glomeromycota; Glomeromycetes; Glomerales; Glomeraceae. The record is from RNAcentral.
GUGAAUCAUCGAAUCUUUGAACGCAAAUUGCACUUUCUGGUAUUCCGGAAAGUAUGCCUGUUUGAGGGUCAGUUAAAUAAAAAUCGGUGCAGUUGCUGCUUUUCGUGGUGAAGAGUUGGAAUUGAGUCGACUUACUUUCGGUUAAGAGACUUAAAAAAUUGCAUGAUAUUCGAUGGUAUUUAUAUCUCUUACGUAGGAUUGAGAUGUCGAAUACUUUAUUAGGUUC